Physeter macrocephalus (sperm whale) is the source of this 107-nucleotide small nuclear RNA. Lineage: Eukaryota; Metazoa; Chordata; Mammalia; Artiodactyla; Physeteridae. The record is from Ensembl.
GUGCACACUUCGGCAGCACAUAUACUAAAAUUGGAACGAUACAGAGAAGAUUAGCACGGCCCCUGCGCAAGGAUGACACGCAAAUUCGUGAAGUGUUCCUUUUUUUU